This is a long non-coding RNA of Cygnus atratus (black swan), 2579 nucleotides long. RefSeq lists it as uncharacterized. Lineage: Eukaryota; Metazoa; Chordata; Aves; Anseriformes; Anatidae. The record is from RefSeq and is a predicted model, not a curated record. The transcript has 5 exons.
ACAUGCAGUGGCUUCCCAGCACAGGCAGGCAGCAAUGAGACUCUGCCAGGGGAAAGCACAGAGAUGAAGACAUCAGGACGCCAAAACAGAUGGGAGACCAUGCACACGGCAAAGCUGUGGAGAUCUGCCAGCCCCUGGAUGACAGUGGAGUGGUGGGAACUGAAGGCAUCCUUUGGGGGUAUCAGAUGGUGUGUGUGAUGUGCUGGCUCCAGCCACAGGCUUGAUUCCCAUCUGAAGUUUUCUGGCAGUGACAGCUUUUGAAAUGGAUGGAAGUACCCCAUGACGUUUUGGAAAAAUAUGACAAUAUUGUCACGUUACUUGGAGAGAUGUGGCUGGAAGUAUGAGUGAUGUCUGAAACAUCUGACCCUGAGCUGAAAUAAAGAACAGUUGAGACUUAUGUACAAGCAUUCGAGCCUCAGGUACACAGACGUGUGAGAGACUCCUAGAUAAAAUGUCUGAGGAACAAGAACUUUUUUCACGUGGGAAAGGAAGAGGUUGCAUGAAUCAUGGUAAACUUCCAACUUAGAUUUUACAGUAGUGAGGGUUGAGACAGUAGAGAUACCAUCUAGAAGUUGAUAGAAUUUUCUUUUUUUUUUUUUUUUUGAAACACAUAUCUGUGCAAAUGUUAUACUUUGGACAAAAAAAAAAGUGAGCAAAGGCAGAAUAAACCACUCUGUUUAGCAAAACAGCUGCAUGAUCUGCUAAACCCAGUCUUGUGAUGACAAGCCACAUGAAAUCUCUGCAGAUAAGUCAUCACCAGUGUCUAGUUUCCCCUGUGUCUCACUGACAAGGGGAGGGGAGGAGGAGUUUGUGUAAUUAAUAGGCAAGGGAAAAGCAGGGGACAUUUUUUAAAGUCAUCCCUGAUUACUCUCAAGUGGGUAUUGAUGGAAUGACAUCGGACAUGCUUUUAUAUUCGUAUUCCUCUGAUUAGAGGAAUUUGGACAUGAUCCAAGCAGAAGUAGAGGAUCUGCUAGGUGGUCCAGUGGUAAAGCAUCCCACCCACCGCAGCAUCCUUAGCAGGGAGGAGGAGGUGAGACAGGGGGAGACCCUCUGCUGAGGUGAGCCCCUGCACUGCCAGUGGGCAUAGAGAACAGACUCGUCCAGCCUGGGGAUUGAAACUCCACAAAGUCGAGCACCAGAUGGCAGAAGAUACAGUGGUUUACAUGUUUUGGACAGAGGGAGGUGUUGAUAACUCAAAAAAGAUAAACAUCAUGAAAUAUAAAAGGUAAGCCCUUUGCAGAACUUGGCCGGACUUCUGCAUUUCUACAGAUGUAGCCAUCUGCAAAAUGAAGAAGACAAGCACAAAGAGGAGCAUUAGGGGCUGGACAUUUUCAACACGCUGCACUUGGGAUCCUCAACUUCUCCAAAGACCACGAAGCAGAGGAAUGUGUUCUCCCCAGAAACUGACCCAGGAGCACCCUGGUCCACUGUGAGGGUGGGGGAACAGCGAGACAGAAGCCAUCAGAGGACAGAGGGAAACCGCAGGUACCUUGGGGAGUUGAGGCUGGAAAUGCUGUGCCACCUACAGCAUGUGUAGACACUUCUAUAAAUGCACGCGUAGCUGUGCAGUGGAAAGUAUCAUGAAGCUCUGCACAAUAAAGAUCAGCUUGUUCUUGGUCACAGCUGCUGGUGGGUUGCUAUUCCAGGAGAGGAAAGCCAGCUUGGAUGAAAGAACGUGUGACAGUGAGGUAACUCAACAUGGAACUUGAAAGUCCCUGUUGUGCCUGUUUGGAAGAGGAGCCAAAGCUCCCAGGCUGAGCUGGAGUCUGUACAGGAUGGAGAUGAAUCCAACCAAGAGCAGGAGGAAAGGAUGGGUACUUGGCUCACAGGCUGUCAAUAUGAUGUCUUAAGCUUCUGUGUGAAGGUGGAGCAUCACAGCUGGCAUUGAGUGGAGCAACAGGACCUUUCUGUUCUUGCUUUACCUGAAAAGCCCACCAUGCUAGGUCCUGCCUGGGGCUCCUGGAACACAUCAAGUUAGAGAUCUAAGAGUGUAAAUGUUUUCAUCUAACUGAUGACAUGCUGUUUCGUGCUCCCAUCCCUGCCCAUAUGGCCAUUACUUUAUGGAACAACAAAGGCUUGCCCAGCAGAGCACUGAAGUAUCAGAAGAUAAAUGUGUAAAAAUUUAGUAACUGCUUUCUUCUUUGCUGUGUCAUGUUACCUAUUAAUACAGACGUUAUAUCCCUGAGAAGUCUAGAAACAUAGAUAAUAUUCAGGUCCAUCAGGAAGAAUUACUGAAAACAUCUAAAAGUAUCCUUUCCAUAAACAAAAUGAAUAUGUAAGCACAUCUGGCACAGCAAUCCUUUACUGCACCAUAUUAUAAAGUUCUCCAGAGCAAUGAAAGUAGUUAAGCCAAUUGUUUCAUAUUAGUUUUAACUUUAUGCUUAGAAAACAAUCUAUGAAUGAUUUGCAUCUCAGCAAAAAGACUUCCAUAAGUGGUCACAAAAAAGGGAGAAUCCAAAUAAAAGUUCUCUCUGGCAGAACAGGAAGGAAAAAAAUACUUGAACUUGAGGAGGUGUCUGGCUGGGCAGACAGAAGAAAGCAUCAGAGGGUCAAAAUCCCCUGAAGCCAUUAGGGAAAUA